AUGACCUCCCGCGGCUACGAGCCGCUCUUCAUGGAUGGCAAGGGCUGCGGCUCCUGCUACCAGAUAAGGUGCUUGAGGUCAAACCACCCUGCGUGCUCCGGCAUGCCGGAGACGGUGAUCAUCACGGACAUGAAGUACUACCCGGUCUCCCACUACCACUUCGACCUCAGCGGCACCGCCAUCGCAGCCGUGGCCAAGGCCGCAACGCCGGCAUCAUUGAUGUGCAGUUCAGGAGAAGUAUUGUGUGUUUGUGAGGCGACACACACACUGAGAGUGAAUGACUUGGCUGUGCAGUGUGCCAUGCCAGUACCCGGGGCUGACGGUGACAUUCUACGUGGGGGCGGGGUGGAACCCAUUCUACACAUGGCAAUACUGUUGGAGUACGAGAACAGCGACGGCGAUGUGAACCAGCUGGACAUCAUGGAGUCGCGGUGA
Molecule: ribosomal RNA, 435 nt
Filed under: Triticum aestivum (bread wheat)
Lineage: Eukaryota; Viridiplantae; Streptophyta; Magnoliopsida; Poales; Poaceae
Description: partial small subunit ribosomal RNA
Source: RNAcentral